GAAAUGCGAUAAGUAAUGUGAAUUGCAGAAUUCAGUGAAUCAUCGAAUCUUUGAACGCACCUUGCGCUCCUUGGUAUUCCUUGGAGCAUGCCUGUUUGAGUAUCAUGAAAUCUUCAAAGCAAAUCUUUUGUUAACUCAAUUGGUUUCUACUUUGGUAUUGGAGGUCUUUGCAGCUUCACACCUGCUCCUCUUUGUUCAUUAGCUGGAUCUCAGUGUUAUGCUUGGUUCCACUCGGCGUGAUAAGUUAUCUAUCGCUGAGGACACUGUAAAAGGUGGCCAAGGUAAAUGCAGAUGAACCGCUUCUAAUAGUCCAUUGACUUGGACAAUACUUUUAUGAUCUGAUCUCAAAUCAGGUAGGACUACCCGCUGAACUUAAGC
RNAcentral lists this unclassified non-coding RNA (378 nucleotides) under plant metagenome. RNAcentral describes it as "partial contains 5.8S ribosomal RNA, internal transcribed spacer 2, and large subunit ribosomal RNA". The stretch from base 1 to 105 matches the Rfam family "5.8S ribosomal RNA", at positions 50 to 154 of the family's 154-position model. The record is from RNAcentral.